AACGAACGCUGGCGGCAGGUCUUAGGCAUGCAAGUCGAACGGGUGUAGUAAUACACCAGUGGCGAACGAGUGAGUAACGCGUGGGAAUCUGCCCAUCUCUGGGGAAUAACGUUUGGAAACGAACGCUAAUACCGCAUACGCCCGCAAGGGGAAAGAUUUAUCGGAGAUGGAUGAGCCCGCGUUGGAUUAGUUAGUUGGUGGGGUAACGGCCUACCAAGGCGAUGAUCCAUAGCUGGUCUGAGAGGACGAUCAGCCACGCUGGAACUGAGAUACGGUCCAGACUCAUACGGGAGGCAGCAGCUGAGAAUAUUGGGCAAUGGAGGAAACUCUGACCCAGCCAUGCCGCGUGAAUGAAGAAGGCCUUCGGGUUGUAAAGUUCUUUUAGUCGUGACGAUGAUGACGGUAGCGACAGAAAAAGCGCCGGCUAACUUCGUGCCAGCAGCCGCCGUAA
This 451-nucleotide ribosomal RNA is filed under the name uncultured bacterium. RNAcentral's name for it is "partial 16S ribosomal RNA". It matches the Rfam family "Bacterial small subunit ribosomal RNA", at positions 29 to 523 of the family's 1533-position model. The record is from RNAcentral.